AUACGGAGGGUGCAAGCGUUACUCGGAAUCACUGGGCGUAAAGCGCGCGCAGGCGGGCUGAUAAGCUGGGAGUGAAAGCCUACGGCUCAACCGUAGAACUGCUUUCCAAACUGUCAGUCUAGAGUCUGGGAGGGGAAGAUGGAAUUAGUUGUGUAGGGGUAAAAUCCGUAGAGAUAACUAGGAAUACCAAAAGCGAAGGCGAUCUUCUGGAACAGUACUGACGCUGAGGCGCGAAAGCGUGGGGAGCAAACAGGAUUAGAAACCCUAGUAGUCC
This 274-nucleotide ribosomal RNA is filed under the name uncultured bacterium. RNAcentral describes it as "partial 16S ribosomal RNA". It matches the Rfam family "Bacterial small subunit ribosomal RNA", at positions 523 to 796 of the family's 1533-position model. The record is from RNAcentral.